This 399-nucleotide ribosomal RNA is filed under the name uncultured bacterium. RNAcentral describes it as "bacterial SSU rRNA". It matches the Rfam family "Bacterial small subunit ribosomal RNA", at positions 64 to 507 of the family's 1533-position model. The record is from RNAcentral.
GAGCGCCGUAGCAAUACGGAGCGGCAGACGGGAGAGUAACACGUGGGAACGUGCCCUUCAGUUCGGAACAACCCAGGGAAACUUGGGCUAAUACCGGAUACGUCCGUAAGGAGAAAGAUUUAUCGCUGAAGGAUCGGCCCGCGUCUGAUUAGCUAGUUGGUGAGGUAACGGCUCACCAAGGCGACGAUCAGUAGCUGGUCUGAGAGGAUGAUCAGCCUCACUGGGACUGAGACACGGCCCAGACUCCUACGGGGGGCAGCAGUGAGGGAUCUUCGGCAAUGGGGGCAACCCUGACCGAGCAACGCCGCGUGCAGGACGGAGGCCUUCGGGUUGUAAACUGCUUUUCUCAGGGGCGAGAUACGGACGGUACCUGAGGAAGAAGUCUCGGCUAACUACGUG